CUCUCCCUCUCCCCCCUCUCUCUUUCUCUCUCCAUCUCUCUCUCCCUCUCUCUCUCUCCAUCUCUCUCUCUCUCCCUUUGGCAGUGGGCUAGAGAGCUGUCUGUUCAGCGAGAACAGCCAUUUGGACAUACUUGUCUGUGAAAUCUGUCAUCGUCAGCAGACACAGUCAGAGAAAGAGUGAGUCAGUGUGCAGCAUUGUGUUCCACAGGUUCAGUAGCUGGACAAGUGUAGCUGAAUUUCAUCAACAUUUUUAUUUUUUUUAAGAAAGUACACCACGACCAAGAUCUACAAGCACAUUUCUCCAAAUAUGGUGUUCGAAUGAGUUGAGAUCUGGCAGCCAUUAGAUAUGAUUUACAUCCUCAUCAGGACCCACUUAAUGGAGGUGGAGUCACCCUGGUAGCGACCACUCCCAUCGGCAUUGAAAUGCUUCAUCAUAGUUUAAAGAUGUUGAAGCACCGUGCAGCAGUUGGCCUGAUGUGUGUCUACUUUGGGAGCAGCUGGACCCUGUUGGGCGUUGGAACCACGGCUCAGUUCAAGGACAAUCUGCAGAACGGGAAGUGAGCUCAUAACAAAUUUGCUUUUGGAAGGGGCAGCAGCGUGCAACUGACAUCAUGAUCUCGCCUUCAAAACAUUCCAUUGUUGGGCCUGUGAGGGCUGCAAGGCGCUGGAAUAGUUUCAGCAUUAUGACAUUCAUAACUGGACUUUCUGCUGCUGGACGUUCACACUAAAACCCGGGCGCAUAAGCAAUGCUCUGUUUUUUCAAGGAUUUUGUUUUUAAAUGUUCACAUAUUGUUGGCUGUUAUAGGUAAUAUGGUGCAACUGUGAUUAUAUGUGAUAAACAAUGCCUUUUGUAUCACUGCCAAAGGUUCUGCGGCCAAAACUUCAUUCUGCUCUCAUAUGGAAAUACAUCUGAGCAAUCACAUUUACUCUACAUGCAGACAACGCUAAAUCAGAACACUCGAAACUCUUCUGUUCUUGAUUUUACUCUUAACAUGUUUUUCCCCCAAGUAGGUUACAGGUUGCAUUGCGAUGUUUCCAUCACUUGUUCUUUAUAUAAACCUCAUAGUUUCAAAACAAAUGAAACUCUCAUGUGAUUUUUUUUUAAUAAAAUUAUUUUUUUUGGCUAAACUGUUAGGGAAAUUCUAAGGGAAAUACACACUUACUGGCU
Long non-coding RNA from Hemibagrus wyckioides, 1168 nucleotides. RefSeq lists it as uncharacterized. NCBI's taxonomy places the organism in Eukaryota, Metazoa, Chordata, Actinopteri, Siluriformes, Bagridae. The transcript has 3 exons. The record is from RefSeq and is a predicted model, not a curated record.